RNAcentral lists this non-coding RNA (92 nucleotides) under uncultured Treponema sp. The record is from RNAcentral. Lineage: Bacteria; Pseudomonadati; Spirochaetota; Spirochaetia; Treponematales; Treponemataceae.
AAAGGGGAGCUUGGUUCAACCUUGCUGAGAGUAGACUAUUGUGUCUUGACCCAUAACCUGAUUUGGAUAAUGCCAACGUAGGGAAACUGUUC